This is a non-coding RNA of Trichobilharzia regenti, 49 nucleotides long. NCBI's taxonomy places the organism in Eukaryota, Metazoa, Platyhelminthes, Trematoda, Strigeidida, Schistosomatidae. The record is from Rfam.
GUACCGAUGAAGAGUCCCAAACUAGAGGGAUGAAACAGCUGUCCAGUAC